Molecule: ribosomal RNA, 254 nt
Filed under: uncultured bacterium
Lineage: Bacteria
Description: partial 16S ribosomal RNA
Rfam family: Bacterial small subunit ribosomal RNA
Source: RNAcentral
UACGGAGGAUGCAAGCGUUAUCCGGAAUGAUUGGGCGUAAAGCGUCCGCAGGUGGCGAAGUAAGUCUGCUGUUAAAGCGUCUAGCUCAACUAGAUAAGAGCAGUGGAAACUACUUACGCUAGAGUGCGUUCGGGGCAGAGGGAAUUCCUGGUGUAGCGGUGAAAUGCGUAGAGAUCAGGAAGAACACCAGUGGCGAAGGCGCUCUGCUAGGCCGCAACUGACACUGAGGGACGAAAGCUAGGGGAGCGAAUGGG